Molecule: ribosomal RNA, 497 nt
Filed under: uncultured bacterium
Lineage: Bacteria
Description: partial 16S ribosomal RNA
Rfam family: Bacterial small subunit ribosomal RNA
Source: RNAcentral
GAUGAACGCUGGCGGCGUGCCUAAUACAUGCAAGUCGAGCGAACAGACGAGGAGCUUGCUCCUUUGACGUUAGCGGCGGACGGGUGAGUAACACGUAUGUAACCUACCUAUAAGACUGGGAUAACUUCGGGAAACCGGAGCUAAUACCGGAUAAUAUUUCGAACCGCAUGGUUCGAUAGUGAAAGAUGGCUUUGCUAUCACUUAUAGAUGGACCUGCGCCGUAUUAGCUAGUUGGUAAGGUAACGGCUUACCAAGGCAACGAUACGUAGCCGACCUGAGAGGGGGAUAGGCCACACGGGAACUGAGACACGGUCAAGGGUCCUAAGGGAGGCAGCAGUAGGGAAUCUUCCGCAAUGGGCGAAAGCCUGACGGAGCAACCCCGCGUGAGUGAUGAAGGUCUUCGGAUCGUAAAAAUCUGUUAAUAGGGAAGAACAAAUGUGGAAGGAACUGUGCACGUCUUGACGGUACCUAAUAAGAAAGCCACGGCUAACUACGUG